AUGCUCUCCACACUCAACUUCUCCGGUGACCAGCUAUGGGGGUCCAUACCCUCGUCGUUAAGCAACCUCCGGAGGCUCACGCUACUGGACCUCUCCAGCAACAAUCUCACCGGCCAAAUCCCUGCUGCUUUAGGUAAUCUCUCAAGACUUGCCUUUCUUUAUCUACCUGGGAAUAGGCUGUCAGGUAACAUCCCAUGGCACCUUGGACGGCUUCGGAACAUGAGAGAGAUGGAUUUGGGCUCCAACAUCCUUUCUGGCCAAAUACCUUCUGCCCUUGCAAACUUGACCAGCCUCAACUCUCUGGUCUUUUCUGACAACCGUUUGUCAGGACCCAUACCUGAAGAGUUAGGACAAGUCCAGACUCUGCAAGAACUAGUAUUCGAGAAAAACAACCUCAAUGGCAUACUUCCGCGCUCCUUUGGAAACCUCACAGAGCUCAGAUACCUCACCGCAUAUCUGAACCAGCUCACUGGUCCGGUCCCUGUAGAGUUUGGGAUGCUCUCCAACUUGAUUGGGUUGGAUUUGUCGGUGAACCGUUUAACUGGCUCAGUUCCCUCUGGUGUUGCCGGCAAUCUUACUUCACUGACCUAUUUUGCUCUUUGGGAUAACCAUAUAACUGGAUCAAUCCCUCAUGAGUUUGGAAAUCUUGUGAAUCUUGAAGCACUCCUACUCUCGGACAAUUUCAUUGUUGGAUCAGUGCCGCCAAGUAUUGGGAACAUGUCUUCACUAAAACAAAUAGCAAUAAAUAACAACAGUCUCUCUGGCGAGUUGCCGCCCGAGUUUGGAAAUUUGGAAAAUUUGGAAUAUCUUAUAUCCUACCAAAACAAAUUGCCCGGAUCAAUUCAUCAAAGUUUUGGGAAAUUGAAGAGCAUGAUAGAAAUGCGACUGUUCAAUAAUAAGUUCUCUGGUCCUUUGCCUCCUGGACUCUCCAACCUCACCAAUUUGGUCGCCAUUCAACUAGCUGACAACCAGCUGACCGGACACUUGCCAGACUUGUGCCACGGUAAGAAGCUUCAGGUUUUCCGACUCUUUCGCAACAAUUUUGACGGGCCUGUCCCAAAAGGUUUGAGGGAUUGUAGUUCACUAAUAUAUUUCGGAAUCAGCAAAAAUCAGAUCGAGGGAGACAUAUCUGAAGCAUUUGGGGUGUAUCCACAUCUGAGUGACAUUAAUUUGUCUUCAAACAGAUUUAAAGGCCGGCUCUCGCCAAACUGGGGCUCAUGUAAAAACUUAACAGUCAUUACAUAUGGAGAACAAGUGAACAACAGCCUUAAUGGAAGUCUUCCUGGUAGUUUGGGCAAUUUAGCUUCGCUGCAAAGAAUGCUUGAUCUUAGUAUGAACAGUCUCAGCGGACCAAUACCACCGGAACUCGGGAAACUAGAGGUAUUGAUGUUUGUAAACUUCUCACACAAUCAAUUCAGCGGUGCCAUCCCUGUUUCGAUUGCAAGCAUGCAAAGCCUAACAAUGUUUGAUGUAUCAUACAACUUCCUAGAAGGGUCUAUCCCGAAAGGGAUUCGCAAUGCAUCAGCAGAAUGGUUUCUCCACAACAAAGAUCUUUGUGGAGACCUUAUUGGCAUCUCUCCUUGUAAUUUACCCCUUGCGGAUCAUAGGAGAAAGCAUCAAAAGAUUAUACUGUCAAUCGGUCUUCCUAUGUUUGCUGCUGCUAUUUCAGUAGUAGUAGCAUGUGUAAUUGCCUUUUUUAUUUGCCGCAAGAAAGUAUCUCAAAGAACUGAUGAUGUGAACAAAAGGGAUGUAUUCUCUGUAUGGAGCUUUGAUGGCAAAAUGGCAUUUGAGGAUAUUAUCAAUGCAACUGACAAUUUCGAUGAGAAACAUUGCAUUGGAGAAGGAUCCAGUGGUAUUGUUUAUAAGGCAGAACUUCCAGAUGAACAAGUGGUUGCAAGAAGGGUGGCUCUAAUAAGAGAUGUGGCUCAAGCCCUCACUUACCUCCACCAUGAUGUUCACCCACCCAUAAUUCAUCGAGACAUCACAAGCAGAAACAUCUUACUAGAUGCUGGCUACAAGGGGUUUGUCUCGGAUUUCGGUAUUGCAAGAAUGUUGAAACCUGAUUCAUCAAACUGGAGUGCACUAGCAGGGACUUAUGGGUACAUAGCACCUGAGGCAAAUCCUGGCAGGAUUUUCUACAAGUGCCCCAACCACCAUAUUCCACCAAAUACUUGCCAACAUUAUUAUUGGGAAGAUGGACCAGACAACUAUUUAGAUUUUUUGGUGAGAGGUGGAUACGUCAGCCCUGGAUUGAGCAGUUUUGAUUCAGCUGGUGUCAUUGCAAGUGAAGAAACAGAGGUGCAAGUGAAGAAGCAGAGCACUGUUGAGACUGUGGUGUAUGCAGAAGCAAUGCAGAAGAUGAAUGAGCUCAUUUUUCUCUGUAGGAGUAUUCUCAGUGCACUUGUUGUACUGAUUGUAGUAGUGGUGUGUGUAGGAUUUAAGAAGUGA
This 2448-nucleotide ribosomal RNA is filed under the name Triticum aestivum (bread wheat). RNAcentral describes it as "partial small subunit ribosomal RNA". Lineage: Eukaryota; Viridiplantae; Streptophyta; Magnoliopsida; Poales; Poaceae. The record is from RNAcentral.